GAUGAAGAACGCAGUGAAAUGCGAUAAGUAAUGUGAAUUGCAGAAUUCAGUGAAUCAUCGAAUCUUUGAACGCACAUUGCGCCCCCCAGUAUUCUGGCGGGCAUGCCUGUUCGAGCGUCAUUUCAACCAUCAAGCCCUGCUUGUGUUGGGGUCCUGCGGCUGCCCACAGGCCCUGAAAACCAGUGGCGGGCUCGCUAGUCACACCGAGCGCAGUAGCACAUCUCGCUCAGGGCGUGCGGCGGGCUCCAGCCGUUAAAGCACCCACCUUUCGCAAGGUUGACCUCGGAUCAGGUAGGAAUACCCGCUGAACUUAAGCAUAUCAAUAAGCGGAGGA
This 334-nucleotide unclassified non-coding RNA is filed under the name soil metagenome. RNAcentral's name for it is "partial contains 5.8S ribosomal RNA, internal transcribed spacer 2, and large subunit ribosomal RNA". The stretch from base 1 to 120 matches the Rfam family "5.8S ribosomal RNA", at positions 35 to 154 of the family's 154-position model. The record is from RNAcentral.